Molecule: long non-coding RNA, 546 nt
Organism: Clarias gariepinus (North African catfish)
Lineage: Eukaryota; Metazoa; Chordata; Actinopteri; Siluriformes; Clariidae
Exons: 3
Source: RefSeq, a predicted model, not a curated record
UCAUGAUAAGCACAAACUAACACCAAUCAUUUGACUCUUAUCCUGAUAGAAACCCAAAAAUGUAACAUUGCCUUACAGUACAACAGUUUCGCUAAAAGACAAACGCACAAACACAUCGUAUAAGCAAGUCUUAAAACUCACACUGAAUGGAAAAUAACAAGACGGUUCUGGACAACCUAAAUAAGUUAAGGGGUUCGCUAUUCGGACAACACGACAGGACAUGCCACGUGAAACAGCCGAGACACAGUGAGGAGUUCCUCCAGAUAACGGUCUGGGCACGGAGCAGCUUAUUGCCACAGACAGUUCAACCACCUCUGAUGGGCCAGAGAGCAAUCAAUGGACGAGAAUAGUACCUGUGUUAUCAGGAAAAGGAAGGUCCAAACUGAUGUCACUGGCAUGAUGGCAUACAUGGAUAUAAAAAAAUAACUAUGAUUUCUUCAUGCAAGAAGAACAAACUGCAACAUCAGCAAGAAUAAGAAAUCAUGACACAUGGAUAAAAGCUGGAAUGGAUUUAGAGCAGCAUGGAUGUAGGCGUCUCCAAGUUAU